This 496-nucleotide ribosomal RNA is filed under the name uncultured bacterium. Its description in RNAcentral is "partial 16S ribosomal RNA". It matches the Rfam family "Bacterial small subunit ribosomal RNA", at positions 29 to 507 of the family's 1533-position model. The record is from RNAcentral.
AUGAACGCUGGCGGCGUGCCUAAUACCUGCAAGUCGAGCGAACAGACGAGGAGCUUGCUCCUCUGACGUUAGCGGCGGACGGGUGAGUAACGCGUGGAUAACCUACCUAUAAGACUGGGAUAACUUCGGGAAACCGGAGCUAAUACCGGAUAAUAUAUUGAACCGCAUGGUUCAAUAGUGAAAGACGGUUUUGCUGUCACUUAUAGAUGGAUCCGCGCCGCAUUAGCUAGUUGGUAAGGUAACGGCUUACCAAGGCGACGAUGCGUAGCCGACCUGAGAGGGUGAUCGGCCACACUGGAACUGAGACACGGUCCAGACUCCUACGGGAGGCAGCAGUAGGGAAUCUUCCGCAAUGGGCGAAAGCCUGACGGAGCAACGCCGCGUGAGUGAUGAAGGUCUUCGGAUCGUAAAACUCUGUUAUUAGGGAAGAACAAAUGUGUAAGUAACUAUGCACGUCUUGACGGUACCUAAUCAGAAAGCCACGGCUAACUACGUG